CUACCUGCUGAACUUAAGCAUAUCAGUAAGCAGAGGAAAAGAAAACAACUGUGAUUCCCUUAGUAACUGCGAGUGAAGCGGGAUAAGCCCAUCGUUUAAUCUUCUUGGACCUAGUUCAAGACGAAAUGUAACGGUAUGGAUAGGUUCUCUACUAAGAAUGUCUAGUCAAAGUCCUCCGGAUUGAGGUGCCAUAGAGGGUGACAGCCCCGUAUGUGACUAGAUAAACUUAGGUAUGUGACCAAAUCCGAGAGUCGGGUUGUUUGGGACUGCAACCUAAAGUAGGUGGUAAACUCCACCCAAGGCUAAAUAUAGACACGAAACCGAUAGCGAACAAGUACUGUGAGGGAAAGUUGAAAAGAACUCUGAAAAGAGAGUUAAAAGUACGUGAAACCGCUAACGGGGAAGCGGAAGGCAGUGUCGAGAUUCUGUGAGUGAGAUGUUAUAUGUUUAUGGGUAUAUGUUGUUGUUGAUAAUGUGCCAAUAUACAUGUAUUAUCUAGCUUGGCAGAAUGCGUCAGAUCUAUUGGUAUUAACAUGAUUAAAUUAUUUGAUUGGCUUGUACGACGCCUAUAUACUUGUACUUGUACUUGUAUAUGGGUCCGUAUUUGUAAUAGAUAAUCCGUCAUGUGUACUAAUAUGUAUGUGAUGAAGCGUUAGUGAUUUAUUAUCGGUUGAGAGUUUGUAGUGCUGUGUAUUGAUUGCAGUGUAGUUAGUAUGGAGAAACUACAAAUUUUUCAACAACUAAUGCUAGUAUCUGACGAGAUACCUAACCUUCCGACC
RNAcentral lists this ribosomal RNA (779 nucleotides) under Kudoa iwatai. RNAcentral describes it as "eukaryotic LSU rRNA". It matches the Rfam family "Eukaryotic large subunit ribosomal RNA", at positions 21 to 649 of the family's 3401-position model. The record is from RNAcentral. Lineage: Eukaryota; Metazoa; Cnidaria; Myxozoa; Multivalvulida; Kudoidae.